Molecule: RNA transcript, 6065 nt
Organism: Dermacentor andersoni
Lineage: Eukaryota; Metazoa; Arthropoda; Arachnida; Ixodida; Ixodidae
Source: RefSeq, a predicted model, not a curated record
UCAGCCAAUGAAAACGCUUUUUCCAAGUGCGACGAAGCACCACAAGAGCACAACAAGCGCAAGAGCCGCGAGCUCCCGAGAGAGUGGAUGUGCCGUGGUACCAUAGAACUUUUUUCUUUCUCUAUGGUGGUACCGCUGGUUCUUUUCUGUGGUUGCACUUGUGUGGUUGUACCAUGGUUGUACUGGUUUUACCUCGUUGUACACGUUCCGCAUAGGUGUUCUUUGGUUCUGCCUGUUCUACGUUUUGUUUCUGUCGUGGUUUCUGGUGUCUAACAUCCUUCUGUGUUCUGUGCCUAAAGGUAGCAGUUCUCGCGGACGAUGUCGCGUUAAAUCUACAUAACAAAGUCAACUUUGUGACGUAUCGGGACUCGUGGGGUUUUCAAAACGUCAAAGAAGUUUUGACUUGGCCCAAAGCCAGUGCAUUGCGUAGUUUUGUUGGAUGGUUACAGGUCGAAGCAACCGCCGCCGUAUAAUGGUAUUUAAUCAUUUGACCCAUGGACGCCGAAUGCGUGAACACAUGCCGAAAUUUGGAAUAUUCAUAUCACGUGAGAUUUUGUGGCACAUGUAACCAUAAUUAGUGAAAUAUGCUUUAAAAACAUAGGCAAAGCAAUAAAAAAACAGUAAGAGCCACAAGUGAUGCACAUUUGCAAAUUUUCAUAAAUGUGCCAUGUCAACUGUGUAACCACUGGUCUAUGAAUAACAGGCAAAUAACAGCACCUGGUGGUGUAUGGAAAGCAAUGCAGAUCAGUCCCUAAAUAUAAAUGGACAUUGUGCAACGUAGUGACUGCACUUUUCAUUCAUGAUGUGCAAUCCUGUGGGAUAUUGCUGUACAGAUAAGUGUUCUGAAUAAGUUUGGCCCAAGCAACAAUUUGACAUGGAAAGCGAGUGCCACAUUUGAGAGUAUUAUGCACCCCCAGAUACACUGAGGGAAGACUGAUAAUGAUGUAAUGGUCACAUUAUAGGUUCAAAGUAAGUUCAUUACCCAUGCCAAUGUGUUUGCUCUAUGUUUUAUCACUCUAAUGUCAUCCUUGUCCUUCCAUUCUUGCAACAUAUUGUGACAUUCUUACCUUGCAACAAUGUGUUAAGUGUAGACCUGUGUACUUGAUAGAGUGUUUUCCACAAGGUGAUUUCAUGAAAACUGCACAUGCACGAAAACCUCACUAUACAGGCAGGGUCAAACGUUUAUGGGAUGCAGAAUCUGAGAGAAAAAAUAUUUCUUCAGCCUGGGCAUGUAGCCUGUAUUUCAAAUGUGCUAUGUGUAAAAAGAAUAUGUGACCAACCUAUUGUUGUACUGAUUUAAUGGCUGCAAGCUGAAAUUGUGCUGACAUGUAAACUUUUGUGGAACGUAAUCCCAUAAACUGUCAACCCUGCCAGUGCAUAUUGAUUGCAAAGAGAAAACGCAGCAACUCUAGUACACUAGUAGCAGCUGGUGUAUUUCCUUAACUGCUCUACUUUCUAUUUACUUUCAUUGGUGUGACUACACUACGUCGUGGGUUAUGCAGGAAGCAUUCUUUUAUUCUGUGAAUCGUUAAUAUCUCUAUCUUUUGUUGUUGUUGUUGUUUACGAAGGAACUUUGAAGUUUUGCUUAAUUUGAUGCACAAAAAUUUUGCGAAUUAGACAGUAACAACACAAGUGUUCCCUCUUUGCCCUCACUGUGCAGCCAUGGUGUAAUGGUUUGGCUCCUGGCUGUGGACCCCACCAUUGCUACUUUGAUACCAACUACUAUGACUCAUUCUUUUGAAUCAAUGGAGCAUUUGUGUGACAUGCAUAUGUGGUUCAGAUUUCUGUUGGAGCCAGGCAUAUAGACUGUCACAAAAUCUGAGGGGCUACAGCUGCAGUGUAACAUGUUAGUAGACCUGAAGAAAGUUGGAGAGAGAGUUUGGCUGCAGAGAGAGGAACUGAAGGGAGAUUUGGGCUGCUCCAUACAUGUUGGAGCAGCCCAGGACCAGUACUUUAUUUUAUAAUGUGCUGUGGUGAAUCUCACCUGUAUUAAAAAUUAUUGCAUAAGGGCAAAAAUGUGAGCAUGUGUAUCAUUAAAAAUUAUAUUCUGGAGUACACCCAAUGCACAGUACACAAUUGUUCUUGCAUUGCACGUAAAAUUCUUGCUCGUGACAAAAAAAAAAGCUUUUAUUUUCUCACUUCAAAGUAAUUCCACCAUGAAUAACAUGAGCGGAGAGGAUAAGGAGAAUGUGCAGCCACACUCAAGGCUCUAUGCGUUUCAUCGCACCAGCGCAGGGAACUGUAGAAAAUAUGUAACACUUCUGGCUACUUAAUUACAUCAUAUGCCGAGUGCACUUUACAUAUGUCCUUUAGACGACGCGUUGUAACCAUAUGCGGGGUGCUAUAGGGAUGAUUGAGGAUGCAUUUGUACACAACGGCGGUGCUCGGCCUGCGCAGACAGACUCGCCAAUACCCGUCAGCCAGCUGCUGCGUUCUUUUUUUUCUUACAUUUUGUUGCGAACUAAGCGAUGAAAGCACAACGCAUGUGAAGGUACCAGCACUCGGCACACUUUGUCCACAUUGCUGAUAGCUUUCAAGGCGGUCGCACCGUACGCAGCAGCCGCCGAAGUAGAAUGCCCCCCCCCAGUGCUUUGCGCACAAGAUUGAGCCGCGAUCUUUGGGUGACCCGCACAAGUUUCACUCUCACAUAUGGCAUGCAGCGACGAUGUUAUCAUGCUUGGACCUUAUACAGGACAUCACACAGCCACGGUAGAAAUGCACCUAGAGUGUCCACAUAAUUGCUAUCGCAAUAACAAAGGAAGGCAGAUACGAAUCUCCCUUCACAUCGCAACUAUUUCUUGUGUUUAUAAGCUGUCUCAUGGGUUUAAGAAGGUAGUAGGAAAGGUCAGAGUAAGAGUAUUGUUAGCAAACUCUCCAAUCUCCCCCCCCUAAAAAACAAAUAAGGCCCUAAGAAACAAGUGUGAAAAGAAACUUACACAAAGCCAUGUUUACAUCAGUUGGUUUGCGAUUGUUGGUGCGCUGUUUUACUAGACUUCUUUUACCUGCAGGCGCUGCUAUAUAGGCCAAAUUGGCCAAUGCAGAAAUGACAAACUUGGGGACCGUGCACACUAGAUCUGUUGUGAACUAAUUGGCAGAACAAUGUAGAAAAAUGUAAUGGCAGUCGAUCAGUGUUUGAAAAAUGCACUAUUUCACAAAGAUAUUUAGGUGAGAUUUGUGAAGCUUAUCACAUUACCAAACUAAUUAUGCUUCCUCUUUCACUGCACUGCAAGUGAACUGUGCUAUUUAUUGAGCAUGUGACAACUCAUGUGACUGUGACAGCAUAGAUUAUUUUCUUUGUAUUAUUGCAUGCUUCACACAUGCAUACACAUACACACAAGUCAACAGGCAAUAAGAAUGGUUGUUCAAUGCUGUGUAUAAUCUCUGUUCUACCUUUCAUGCUGUUGCACCUGAUUCUGCAAUUCUUUUUUUAAUGUUAUAGAUGGUCGGGAGCUUUGCACCUUGCAGUAGUUAAAGCUAAUCACUGCUUCAAGACCCACUCUUACAAUUCAGGAUAGCUUUGGCUUGCUUUCAGUUGUGCAUGAAAAACAAUCCAUUGUGUAAUGUUGAUAAACAUUAAGAAAGGAAUUCGACGGGGUUGCUAUAGGGGCUUGUUAGUAUGGCAUCAUCUUUACUGUAGUGCAAGCAGAAUGAUCGGGACACAAAAAGGCACAUGCCUCGCAAAAGAGCUUCUCUUACGGCUAGGACAGAUCCUAUUGCAACAUGUUUGCUAAACUACAAAUUAUACUAAAUCUCAGUUAUUGGGAAACUUAAUUGGCAAUUAUCACAAUUUCUGAUGUGUGCUAGUCCAAAUGUGUUGCUCCCCAAAAUGAUCACUUUGUAUCUGUUCUUUAUCUCUACGGUACUUUCUCUAAGCACAAGUGAUUCAGUCAUUUUGAAAAGGAUAUCUUUUCAAAAGUAUUACACGUACACACGUGAAAGAUAUAUGAAAAGAACCACAAGCUCGCCAAGUUUAUACACCCUCUACAAUUAAAUGUUCAAUAUGUGCCCCUUUGAUGACGCGACACAUCCAGACGAUAAUCGAGCUCAUUCCAUACAUUUUGUAGCAUAGUCUUGUCAACUGUCUGCACUGCAGCACUGAUGCGUCCUUUGAGCUCGAUUAAGGAUUGCAGUAGUAUGGGUACGUUAAGUUUACGUACCCAUACUAUUUACCCAUACUACGUACCCAUACAUAUUAUUACUACUACGUACCCAUACUACUACCCAUAGCUAUUUUGACAAGGGGACCUGUCUCCAUCAGGACGAGCACCCAAUUGUCAAAACAUUGGCUCCAGGCACAAAGCUUCCCCUGUGCAUGCUGUGUCAAGUUUCCAUUUUCCUGUGACCCCUUUGUCAUGCGCUAAACCUGUAAUUUGUAAUUGGCUUAAAGAUUAACAUCUCCACUAAUCAAAGUGACACAUCUUUAUAUGUUUUCUCCUACCCCUGCCCACUCUACGUAGAAUGGGUGAGUGAUGUCACUCAGAAAGUGAACUCAUUUUCCAGUGGCACAUCAUCUGGAAUACAGCAGGCACAGCAUUGCUCAAAUCUUUUUUUUUUUAAUAACGUUUUAUACAUUUUAAUUUGUUUGCCUAUUACAAAUAAAAAUACAAUAAACACAAACACUUCAAAGCAGUGGCAUACUUCUGGCUGAGAAAGUGGACCGUCUACUGCAACUGCUAUACCUGUAAUGUAUUUGUGCAAUAUGUGCAAUAAAAGGAGUAGAGUAGAGCCUGUUGAGGAAAGCUUGGCUCUGUGGAAGACCUAGUGAGCUGCAUGAAGGAAGGAAAGGAGGAGAAAGAAUGCGACAGAGAUGAAGGCUACUGCAGUGGCAACAGCUGAACGAGGUGCGAAACAGAUAAUUGCAUGUGAACUUGUACUUUGGUCCUGUUCCAUCAUGAACGAAUUGGCCUCUGCAAUGUCUCCUCCGGUAUGAGAAAAAAACAUUUCUGGCCACCAGAUGCACCUGUGACAUUGCGACUUCUCUGUGCUGUACUCUUAUUUCCAUCGCAAGAGCACAGCUGAACCAGCAUUUCUCUCCUUACACUGCUAUGAGCUGGACGGUGAGGACAUCGUUGCUGCACUGAAAGAGAUGACUAGCCCUGGUAGCCCUGAAGCCAUCGCCGCCAAUUCCAAACAUCUGAUCAACGAUGUCAUCACUACAGGAGGGAGCGUCUCGGUUCUGCCAAUGGUUUUACUGUCUACCCAAGCUACUCGCCCGCGAGAUCAUUGCAAAGCCGUCUUCCGAGGCCACGUGCUUUUCAAGGGGUGAACAUUCAUUGUUGACUUGUACGUCCAGAGACAAUAGCGUCCAAAUAGGUAAACAAAUACGAGCAGCAUCUUGGAGGCUGGAGUGGAAAAAAAAAGAAGCCUGAAUUACUAUGGUGGAAGUGAUCAAAUAGGAUGGAUGGAUAUUAUGAGCGUCCCCUUUGGAACGGGGUGCUGAGUUGCGCCACCAAGCUCUUGCUAAUAUACUGCCUAAUGCCCUACCUAGGUAAAAAAAAAAAAAAAAAAAAAAAAAAAAAAAUAAAAACACACGAUGAAUUCCCAUAAUAAAAUUUUCUGACCCCUAUUGUGAACUUUGUUUUUGUACGUCUCCGUUUUUUGUUGUUUCUCUACUUUUCUUCCACCAAUCUUCCAAUCUCUUCUUACUCAUCUCUAUUGCGGACAUGUUUACUUUCCCCUUGCUCGCCACAGUCGUGUCUUGGCUGCCGAGACGCACCUUGACAGCACAACACUCCCGGCAGGGGGCCUCCUACGAAUGACCAGGAAAGCCAUGGGACUCCUCCAGCCCUAUCCAGCUGGCUCUACGCCUCGGGAGGCAGGUAGUCCUGUGUGGCGACUUCAACGCCCACCACACAGACUGGGGAAGCCGCUGCUGCUCCAGCGGAGGCCGAAGCCUCCGCGGCGCCAUCAGCACAGCCGGACUGGUGAUCCUGAACAGCGGAGGACCCACCUAUAUCCGCCGAGGGGUGAACUCAGCCAUCGAUCUCUCCCUCACCAUAGAACAGUGCUCCUACUCCUGGGACACAACUCCGGACACUUGGGGUUCGGACCACUUCCCUGUUGUG